Molecule: transfer RNA, 72 nt
Filed under: Minicystis rosea
Lineage: Bacteria; Pseudomonadati; Myxococcota; Polyangiales; Polyangiaceae
Description: tRNA-Val
Rfam family: tRNA
About the family: Transfer RNA (tRNA) molecules are approximately 80 nucleotides in length. Their secondary structure includes four short double-helical elements and three loops (D, anti-codon, and T loops).
Source: RNAcentral
GCGGGGCUCGCUCUCUGGGAGGGCACCGGUAUGACAAGCCGGAUCAGGUGGGUUCGAUUCCCACGCCCCGUA